RNAcentral lists this ribosomal RNA (254 nucleotides) under uncultured bacterium. RNAcentral describes it as "partial 16S ribosomal RNA". It matches the Rfam family "Bacterial small subunit ribosomal RNA", at positions 524 to 776 of the family's 1533-position model. The record is from RNAcentral.
UACGGGGGGAGCAAGCGUUGUUCGGAUUUACUGGGCGUAAAGGGCGCGUAGGCGGUCGUGACAAGUCACUUGUGAAAUCUCCGGGCUUAACUCGGAACGGUCAAGUGAUACUGUCGGACUAGAGUACAGAAGGGGCAACUGGAAUUCUCGGUGUAGCGGUGAAAUGCGUAGAUAUCGAGAGGAACACCUGCGGCGAAGGCGCCGCUCUGGGCCGUGACUGACGCUGAGGAGCGAAAGCGUGGGUAGCAAACAGG